AACGAACGCUGGCGGCAUGCCUAACACAUGCAAGUCGAACGAAACCUUCGGGUCUAGUGGCGCACCUGUACGUGCCACCUGGUGAGCUACCCUUGGGUUCCGUAUCCCUCACCGUAGGGUGUCCUCAUAACACUUAAUCUCUUCGCGCCAAGGAUGUCUCGCCAUUGGAUGGGCCCGCGUUGGAUUAGCUGGUUGGUAGUGUACAAGCCUCCCAAGGCGACGAUCCAUGGCUGGUCGGAGAGGAGGACCAGCUACACUGGGAAUGAGACACGGACUAGACUCGUACGGGAGGGAGCAGUGGGGAAUACUGGACAAGGGGCGAAAGCCUGAUCAAGCAAUGUCGCGGGAGAGAUGAAUGGCUUAGUGUUGUAAAGCUGUUUUACACGGGACGAUAAUGACAGUAACGGGAGAAUAAGCACCGGCUAACUACGUG
This 433-nucleotide ribosomal RNA is filed under the name uncultured bacterium. Its description in RNAcentral is "partial 16S ribosomal RNA". It matches the Rfam family "Bacterial small subunit ribosomal RNA", at positions 29 to 507 of the family's 1533-position model. The record is from RNAcentral.